RNAcentral lists this ribosomal RNA (440 nucleotides) under uncultured bacterium. RNAcentral's name for it is "partial 16S ribosomal RNA". It matches the Rfam family "Bacterial small subunit ribosomal RNA", at positions 338 to 795 of the family's 1533-position model. The record is from RNAcentral.
CCUACGGGUGGCAGCAGUGGGGAAUAUUGCACAAUGGGGGAAACCCUGAUGCAGCGACGCCGCGUGAGUGAAGAAGUAUCUCGGUACGUAAAACUCUAUCAGCAGGGAAGAAAAUGACGGUACCUGACUAAGAAGCCCCGGCUAACUAAGUGCCAGCAGCCGCGGUAAUACGUAGGGGGCCAGCGUUAUCCGGAUUUACUGGGGGUAAAGGGGGCGUAGACGGCAGCACAAGUCUGGAGUGAAAUCCCGGGGCUUAACCCCGGAACUGCGUUGGAAACUGGUCGGCUGGAGUGCAGGAGGGGUAAGCGGAAUGCCUAGUGUAGCGGUGAAAUGCGUAGAUAUUAGGAGGAACACCGGUGGCGAAGGCGGCUUACUGGACCGUAACUGACGCUGAGGCUCGAAAGCGUGGGGAGCAAACAGGAUUAGAUACCCGGGUAGUC